RNAcentral lists this ribosomal RNA (327 nucleotides) under uncultured eukaryote. RNAcentral's name for it is "partial 18S ribosomal RNA". It matches the Rfam family "Eukaryotic small subunit ribosomal RNA", at positions 1470 to 1796 of the family's 1831-position model. The record is from RNAcentral.
CCCUUAGAUGUUCUGGGCCACACACGCGCUACACUGAAGGAGGCAGCGUGUACUCCUGGAUCGAAAGAUUUGGGUAACCCGCGAAUCUCCUUCGUGCUAGGGAUUGAGGUUUGCAAUUAUCCUUCAUGAACGAGGAAUUCCCAGUAAGUGCAAGUCAUAAGCUUGCGCUGACUACGUCCCUGCCCUUUGUACACACCGCCCGUCGCUACUACCGAUUGAAUGAUUUAGUGAGGACUUCGGACUGGGACCGAUGCGGCUUUCGGGCUGCGUCGGUAUUCUGGAAAGAUGUCCAAACUGUAUCAUUUAGAGGAAGUAAAAGUCGUAACA